This 169-nucleotide ribosomal RNA is filed under the name Sphingomonas sp. enrichment culture isolate DGGE gel band B15. Its description in RNAcentral is "partial 16S ribosomal RNA". It matches the Rfam family "Bacterial small subunit ribosomal RNA", at positions 338 to 524 of the family's 1533-position model. Lineage: Bacteria; Pseudomonadati; Pseudomonadota; Alphaproteobacteria; Sphingomonadales; Sphingomonadaceae. The record is from RNAcentral.
CCUACGGGAGGCAGCAGUAGGGAAUAUUGGACAAUGGGCGAAAGCCUGAUCCAGCAAUGCCGCGUGAGUGAUGAAGGCCUUAGGGUUGUAAAGCUCUUUUACCCGAGAUGAUAAUGACAGUACCGGGAGAAUAAGCUCCGGCUAACUCCGUGCCAGCAGCCGCGGUAAU